CCUUACGGGUGGCAGCAGUGGGGAAUAUUGGACAAUGGGGGCAACCCUGAUCCAGCCAUGCCGCGUGUGUGAAGAAGGCCCUCGGGUUGUAAAGCACUUUCAGUGAGGAAGAACGCCUGGUGGUUAAUACCCAUCAGGAAAGACAUCACUCACAGAAGAAGCACCGGCUAACUCCGUGCCAGCAGCCGCGGUAAUACGGAGGGUGCGAGCGUUAAUCGGAAUUACUGGGCGUAAAGCGCGCGUAGGUGGCUUGAUAAGCCGGUUGUGAAAGCCCCGGGCUCAACCUGGGAACGGCAUCCGGAACUGUCAAGCUAGAGUGCAGGAGAGGAAGGUAGAAUUCCCGGUGUAGCGGUGAAAUGCGUAGAGAUCGGGAGGAAUACCAGUGGCGAAGGCGGCCUUCUGGACUGACACUGACACUGAGGUGCGAAAGCGUGGGUAGCAAACAGGAUUAGAUACCCCUGUAGUC
Molecule: ribosomal RNA, 466 nt
Filed under: Vreelandella stevensii
Lineage: Bacteria; Pseudomonadati; Pseudomonadota; Gammaproteobacteria; Oceanospirillales; Halomonadaceae
Description: partial 16S ribosomal RNA
Rfam family: Bacterial small subunit ribosomal RNA
Source: RNAcentral